GAGUGUCCAAAAUAGCUUUCUUUGAAUUCUGCAUCGUGUAGAUGCCAGUCUUAUAAUGGAUCUCUCAGUCACAUCAACGCCCGAGUCUAUGGUGAUGAUAAUGUUUGUGCAAAGUGGAUGCCAAGUGACUGCACAAUCAAGGUUUCUGAGUAGUUGAAAUAGAUAAGUCUUGAGUCAAUCAGUACAUCUGUACCACAUUCAUGUGGCAAAUGCUGCUUUAUGGAGAUGUUUCUAAUACUGACCUACAAUAAUUCAGCCAAGAUCACGUUUCUACUGUCUUCAGGAAAUGAGAAAAAUGAAUCCAGGAAAUUUCCAUCUUUAACUAUACUCUGUAAAUGUGCUGUCCAAUACACAGAUAGCUACUGAGCACUGGAAUAUAGCUAGUCUGAAUGGAGAUGUUCUCGAGCAGUUAAAGUGAAAACAAGAUCACGGAAAAGGAGAUAUAUUUUGGUAGAUCCAAGAAUCUAUGUUUGAUAGAGUCUUCACAGAAAGAGUCGAAAUUGACAACAUGCUUAUUGCUUUGGCUUUGGAUGUUGGUUGGGAACAUGGUUCUUGAAUAUCCACACUUCAAAGUAGAUCUUACUUUUUGGAAGAGUAGAAAGCUCAUUACGUUGGUUAAUUUGAGAAGUAAGACAAGGGCUCAGAAAGGUACUAGUUAUUAGUACCUUAUACACUAGCCUGCCUGGCAUUCUUACCAUGACAGUGAAUUGUCAUGGUAAGAGUUGUGGUUUUAAACCUCUUUUCCCCAGAUGUUACAUGGAGUAAUAUAUGUAUCCACAUACAUAUUAAAGUAGGAGGUAGAUAUUAUAUUGACUGGUGACUUGAGGACAUGAUACACAAAAUAGGUAACGUUUGAUGAAGCUUGAAAUGAGCCAAGAAAGGACAAAUCUGGAUAACACACUGUAGCCUUGGUGAUGAGAAAGGAGAAAGGAAAGAUAAUGAAGAUGGGUAUCAUAUUGCUUUGCCUUGAAUUUGCAGAAAGAGAUAUUUGGAUUAUGAUGUUACCUUAAAAAAGGCAGUUGAUAUUACUCAGUGAAAGUUCAGAAGCCAAGAAAACUAUGUGUGUGUACAUAUAUGUAUAUAAUGUACAUAUGUUUAUUUCUUUUUUUAAAAAAUUCUUACCUACCUCUCUACUAUAACAAAAUUAAUUUCAUUCUUUUUUGUUGCAUUUAAACUUUAUCUUGGUAAUGUUCAUAUUACAAAUUUGCCUAUAUUGUUGGUAUUAUAUUGUUACUAUAUAGAUAUAUUUGUAAGCAUAAAUGCUUGGUAUUCAAAUGUUUAACUAGUAAUAUUCAUAUUACAAAUUUGCAUAUAUGUUUGGUAUGAUAUUGUUACUAUAUAGAUAUGUUAUAUUUGUAAGCAUCAAUGCGUGGUAUUCAAAUGUUUAACAACUCUCCAUUUUUUUCUCAAGUAACCCUCUGACAAAAGGCUGUAUUUAUAUAAAACUGACAGAUUUUUAUGGUGGAUCAUUUUUCUUACAUUAAUUACAUAGGUAGUAUUAUUUUAGUUGGAGGUCAAAUAACAUACUAUCAAUGACAAUUUAGAGAUAAAUUGUUUGAAAUCCUGAUAUGGAAGAGCUAUAGAAAUAACAUGGGUGACCUCACGUUUUUAAGAUAGCCUCUCUGCACCAUAUGGCUAGUCCCAAAUGGAGAUCAAGAAAGCAAGGUCAUUUUUAAUCUCUACAUACAUCUUGCUUUCCUGGUUUAACACUAAUCAUUCAUUGUAUUCUGCAUAUUGGAAGGGAGCAGAUGAAGGAUACUAAGAAUUCACUUUGAAAACAUGUACUCAAUGUUUCAUAUCCAAAAACUCCCAGGGAUUAAACAAUCAGAAAACCCUACAUCAUUUGCAUUUUAAUGGAUACAAAUAAGAGUUGAAACAUUUCUUUACACUUAAACUACCAUGAACAAGCUUAUAUAGCUAUUAGGAGUGAAAAUGGGGAGGAGGAGGAAGAAGGGGACUCUGAAAUUUAAGGAAAAUUCAUUUCUUUUACAGAGUUGGAGCUAGGCUGAUUAAGUCAAGGUGCCUAACUCUGCUAGAGACACAUUUUCCUAAUGAAAAAUACUGUAACUUCAGACUUUUCACAUUUUCCAUGAAUAGAUGUCAUUACUCAUUAUCACAUUUAUCAUUACUUGUAAAACAAUGAGGUGGCAGCAGGGGGGGAAAGGACUAAAAUAGAAUUGAAAAAAAAAUUGGUACUAGCUAAGGUAAUUUAAAUGAAGCUUUUUUUUUUCCAGAAGCAAAGGUGACCUCCAUGAUUACUCCACCAUACCUUUGGGAAACUGACAUAAGAUAGUGGACAACUAUAAUGGAAAGAAUAGUGACUACGGUUUCUCUCCACCCUCCUCUAAUUCUGCAUUAGAAAUGAAAAAAAGCUUGACUGGUAAAAUUCUGAAACAGACAAUGAGCUAUUUAAGUGAUAAUUACUGAAUCUCAUUUUUAGAAGCCCAUUAACAGGUAUCUCUUUAGUCAUGAGAAAAUUAUUCAUAAAUAUUAAAUUGUGUGAUCACAUUGCAAGUUUCUUUCAAAUUAUAGAAUCUGACUAAUUUCACAGUAACUGUUUGCCAUUAAUUGGCUUUAAGAUUUAAUCAAGUAAAGACAUCAUUGUUUAAUUCUAAUUUGUAAAGCCAAAAAAAGUGUAACAUUAUUAUCUUUAGUCAAACUUCUUCAAAUGUUUAUGCAAGGUAGAAAUUGAAAACAACAGGUACUCCUGUGCUUACAGUUUCUCCAGUUCAAAGAACAAAAUUCAUCAAUGGGAAGCUGCAGUGGAUUGUAGAGUAAAAUCUUGCUGCCCAACUAGAGAAUAAAAAGAGUUUGACCAGACUUAUAACAAUGACAUAAUGGCCAUUUUGUUGAGUUCUUAAUGAGUUUAGUAGGUAGUGAAAUGGGAAAGGUUCCCUUGUCCCCCUUGCAGGGUGUGUGGUGGGGGUGUAGCUUGCUUCUUCAGUGCCCCACUGCUCAAACUUCUAGGGGAGCAUACAGAUGGGCAGGUUGUGGGGCUCCAACCCCACGGCAGUGUCUAGGGGUGAAUGUUUACAGCUCCUGAAGUGCCAGUGGGCGUGUGUUACAGGGUGCUCUGUUAGUUUGCCCUCUCUAGGCAGCUUGUGUUAACCAGCUCAGUUGGACUUUGUUGCAAGGAUAGAAGACUUUCUGUAUCUCCAGGUUCUUGCCUUGGUGUACCAGAAGAAUCAAUCACACAUGGUCUUGGAGAAUGAGUGCAAAGUUUUAUUGAGUGCAGGUAGCUCUCUGCUGCUCUUCCACCAGUAUGCUCUCCACAACCAGCCGCUUGUGUGUUCUUCCACUGAUGUGUCCUCUCAAUGUCCAGACGCUUCUGUCUCUGCCUUGCUAGGAUCUUGGGCUUUUAUAGACCUUGGAUGGGGAGGUGGUGAGCCAGGGUGGUCUUGGGAAAUGCAACAUUUGGGCGUGAAGUCAGGAGUGCCUGUUCUCACCUAGGUCCGUGGGGGUAAAGCCCUAGCUAGGGACCAUGCCUUCCUCUACCCAGCACUUCCCUUCCUCAUUCUGUAUCAUUUAAAGAGACCACACUCCUCCCUUCCCAGCACUCCUGUAUCAGUAGGAAGAUAGAAGAAAACUCUAGAUCACCAUCAAGUUCAAGUCAUUUCAGAUUUUCAGUGAAUAUAUGUUUGCUGUGUCCUUCAGGUACCAAGAUGCAGGGAAAUGAUUAAAAGGCCCUGAGAUAUACAAUACUGAAUGGUAGGGAGGAGGAGGCCUUCUAGGUUGGAAAGUCCCGUAGCUGACUAGCUACUAAAUGUUCUAUCAGCUAUUGAUAAGACCGUGUUCAGAACAUACGGAAAUUGUAGGAUAUAAUUUUUGUAUGUUACUUGUCACCAGCUGUUCAAUAUUAUGAAUUAUUCCUGAGACAUUACAGAAGUUGAGAAUGAAUUGUGCCCAUAAACAGAAAACAUAUUAACCUAUACAAUACACUCGUUUUCCUUUUAGAGACACGAAUACCCCUAGCUCAAGGAGUCGAUAUGUAUAAAAUAGGCAACUAGGGGCAUGCAAAUAUUGUGGAAAUGGUGUUUCUGAUUGGCACUGGCAGAUUUAUUAUUCGAAAUAAUCCUGUUGGCAAAAAAAGGAAAUUUUUUUUCCGUAUCAUAAAAUCUGAUUUCAAAAACUUGCUCCUUUUUGACUUUCUCUAUAAGCUUGUAAGUCUGCAUUCUUCUCUCAUUUUUAUAUCCAGGCUCUAUUGUAAUUUAUCUGUUGCUAACCAGUUUUCAAUAAAAUAUAUAAUAAAUAA
This 4252-nucleotide long non-coding RNA is filed under the name Homo sapiens (human). RNAcentral describes it as "HSALNT0402982". Lineage: Eukaryota; Metazoa; Chordata; Mammalia; Primates; Hominidae. The record is from RNAcentral.